CAAUCAACACCUCAGAAGGCGAGCUAUACACCUACUUCACGAUUGCAGGAAUGAGGGCACCACGAAGAUAGGCACCAGAGGAAGCGUCAUCCGCCCAAAUCCGGUCCCCGAGCGUCAGCCACGACCACCACGGCUCAAGGGGAGUAGUUCCCUCCCCGUCAGGCAAGUCCCCCAUGAAGAGCGCUUGGAAGGGCUCACCCAUUGGCCCGCGCCCGGGUACCACAAAGAUCUCGCAUCGACGCAUAUCUCGUCGAUUCCCCUCAGGGAUCGGCACAGGCUUUGCACCGAGUGCUCCCCCGGCCACGUCACUCGAAGAAGCCCUGUGAGGACGUUUCCCGGCCUCGCCAGACGCCUCCUGUGUUGCGAUCGGCGUAGGUCUCUUGUGGGUCAAGACCUUAGACUUCUUGUGCAGUUGUUCGGGUGCCUGAUAAAAAUUAAAUGAAGAAUAUAGAAAGAUAGAAAUUGUAGAAGAAACUAUGAAAUGUAUAAGAUGUAAUUGUCUAGUUUAUUUUGAUAGUGAGUUCUUG
Molecule: long non-coding RNA, 527 nt
Filed under: Musa acuminata (dwarf banana)
Lineage: Eukaryota; Viridiplantae; Streptophyta; Magnoliopsida; Zingiberales; Musaceae
Description: long non-coding RNA (MACU_LNC006664)
Source: RNAcentral